Molecule: long non-coding RNA, 607 nt
Filed under: Rattus norvegicus (Norway rat)
Lineage: Eukaryota; Metazoa; Chordata; Mammalia; Rodentia; Muridae
Description: long non-coding RNA NONRATT030323
Source: RNAcentral
AAAAGAUCUUUACCAAUCCUACAACAGAUAGAGGCCUUAUAUCCAAAAUAUACAAAGAACUCAAGAAGUUAGACCACAGGAAAACAAAUAACCCUAUUAAAAAAUGGGGUUCAGAGCUAAACAAAGAUUUCACAGCUGAGGAAUGCCGAAUGGCUGAGAAACACCUAAAGAAAUGUUCAACAUCUUUAGUCAUAAGGGAAAUGCAAAUCAAAACAACCCUGAGAUUUCACCUCACACCAGUGAGAAUGGCUAAGAUCAAAAUCUCAGGUGACAGCAGAUGCUGGCGAGGAUGUGGAGAAAGAGGAACACUCCUCCAUUGUUGGUGGGAUUGCAGACUGGUAAAACCAUUCUGGAAAUCAGUCUGGAGGUUCCUCAGCAAAUUGGACAUUGAACUGCCUGAGGAUCCAGCUAUACCUCUCUUGGGCAUAUACCCAAAAGAUGCCUCAACAUAUAAAAGAGACACGUGCUCCACUAUGUUCAUCGCAGCCUUAUUUAUAAUAGCCAGAUAAUGGAAAGAACCCAGAUGCCCUUCAACAGAGGAAUGGAUACAGAAAAUGUGGUACAUCUACACAAUGGAAUAUUACUCAGCUAUCAAAAACAACGAGUU